GAUAGUGAGUUCUGGACGUGUCUAAUAGAUGGCGUGAAAGAAUAUUGUGUUGAUAUGUGCUUAUGGCGGCUCGUUGUGAACAGUUCAGCUACAGCUAUUUUCUUCGACAAUUACAAAGGAAUUCGUUUGGGAAUUUGUGUAAGGGGCAUGCAGCCUAGUGUCAACUAUUGUGUUAUAAAUCCUAGUAUCCUACUGAAUAUGUCAUCCAAAUGACAGAGAUCACCAACCCUAGAAUGGACCAUUCUCUCAUUCCAUCUUCUAGAGAACCUUGAAUAACUGAUUGGUGGUUUUGUGUGUCUCUAAUCUUGCACGCUAGCCUUUAUGAGAAGUCAUGUCCUUUGAAGGAAAGGGACAAUGACUUAACAGUCAACAAGGUCCUUUGUUUGGUAACCCGUUGGCUGCUACCCUUGAACAUCCCUUUUUACUUCCUUAAACAGGCCCUCUUGAUUUGAGGGUAACUCCUUUGCUACAUAUCAUGGACUUCAUCCAUUGGUGAAAACUGAAAAGAGAAAGCUGUAAUUCAGAUGUCUAAGCCGGAAGUCUGCUAUGGUUAAUCGCUCUCGUAUUAGUUCGUUCCUCAACUCUUCGCUCUUUUUCCGGUUUCUCUUAACCAUUUGCCAGGUAGUCAAUUAAGACAGUGAUGUCACCCCCUGUCUUGAUUGUGUGCGAGUUUCAAAAGCAGUUUAUCACCCAAAUGAGACAAAAGGAGUUGGUUAGGUUUGUUUUAUUUGGGUAUAAACUGCUUUAAAAUUUGCGCAGAACAAAAUUUGUAUUGUACCGGACGCUUUGUUUAUUAAAUAUCAAUCAUUUUGG
This 813-nucleotide long non-coding RNA is filed under the name Daphnia pulicaria. RNAcentral describes it as "uncharacterized LOC124311655, transcript variant X3". Lineage: Eukaryota; Metazoa; Arthropoda; Branchiopoda; Diplostraca; Daphniidae. The record is from RNAcentral.